UCCGGAUAAUCAAGGCUGAGGUGUGAUGACGAGGCACUACGGUGCUGAAGUAACAAAUGCCCUGCUUCCAGGAAAAGCCUCUAAGCAUCAGGUAACAUCAAAUCGUACCCCAAACCGACACAGGUGGUCAGGUAGAGAAUACCAAGGCGCUUGAGAGAACUCGGGUGAAGGAACUAGGCAAAAUGGUGCCGUAACUUCGGGAGAAGGCACGCUGGUGUGUAGGUGAAGCCCCUGCGGGUGGAGCUGAGACCAGUCGAAGAUACCAGCUGGCUGCAACUGUUUAUUAAAAACACAGCACUGUGCAAACACGAAAGUGGACGUAUACGGUGUGACGCCUGCCCGGUGCCGGAAGGUUAAUUGAUGGGGUUAUCCGUAAGGAGAAGCUCUUGAUCGAAGCCCCGGUAAACGGCGGCCGUAACUAUAACGGUCCUAAGGUAGCGAAAUUCCUUGUCGGGUAAGUUCCGACCUGCACGAAUGGCGUAAUGAUGGCCAGGCUGUCUCCACCCGAGACUCAGUGAAAUUGAACUCGCUGUGAAGAUGCAGUGUACCCGCGGCAAGACGGAAAGACCCCGUGAACCUUUACUAUAGCUUGACACUGAACAUUGAGCCUUGAUGUGUAGGAUAGGUGGGAGGCUUUGAAGCGUGGACGCCAGUCUGCGUGGAGCCAACCUUGAAAUACCACCCUUUAAUGUUUGAUGUUCUAACGUUGGCCCCUGACCGGGGUUGCGGACAGUGUCUGGUGGGUAGUUUGACUGGGGCGGUCUCCUCCCAAAGCGUAACGGAGGAGCACGAAGGUUAGCUAAUCCUGGUCGGACAUCAGGAGGUUAGUGCAAUGGCAUAAGCUAGCUUGACUGCGAGCGUGACGGCGCGAGCAGGUGCGAAAGCAGGUCAUAGUGAUCCGGUGGUUCUGAAUGGAAGGGCCAUCGCUCAACGGAUAAAAGGUACUCCGGGGAUAACAGGCUGAUACCGCCCAAGAGUUCAUAUCGACGGCGGUGUUUGGCACCUCGAUGUCGGCUCAUCACAUCCUGGGGCUGAAGUAGGUCCCAAGGGUAUGGCUGUUCGCCAUUUAAAGUGGUACGCGAGCUGGGUUUAGAACGUCGUGAGACAGUUCGGUCCCUAUCUGCCGUGGGCGCUGGAGAAUUGAGGGGGGCUGCUCCUAGUACGAGAGGACCGGAGUGGACGCAUCACUGGUGUUCGGGUUGUCAUGCCAAUGGCACUGCCCGGUAGCUAAAUGCGGAAGAGAUAAGUGCUGAAAGCAUCUAAGCACGAAACUUGCCCCGAGAUGAGUUCUCCCUGAGACUAUAAGUCUCCUGAAGGAACGUUAAAGACGAUGACGUUGAUAGGCCGGGUGUGUAAGCGCAGCGAUGCGUUGAGCUAACCGGUACUAAUGAACCGUGAGGCUUAACCUUACAACGCCGAAG
RNAcentral lists this ribosomal RNA (1421 nucleotides) under Klebsiella pneumoniae. RNAcentral describes it as "partial 23S ribosomal RNA". It matches the Rfam family "Bacterial large subunit ribosomal RNA", at positions 1541 to 2925 of the family's 2925-position model. Lineage: Bacteria; Pseudomonadati; Pseudomonadota; Gammaproteobacteria; Enterobacterales; Enterobacteriaceae. The record is from RNAcentral.